This is a non-coding RNA of Pelobates cultripes (western spadefoot toad), 92 nucleotides long. NCBI's taxonomy places the organism in Eukaryota, Metazoa, Chordata, Amphibia, Anura, Pelobatidae. The record is from the annotation of a GenBank genome assembly.
CUUCAGAUGUUGCUGAACUACAACUCCCAUGAUUCUUUGAAUGGCAUAAGGGGCAAAUAAUCAUGGGAGUUGUAGUUCAGCAACAUCUAGAG